GUUAAACCGGAGGAAGGUGGGGAUGACGUCAAGUCCUCAUGGCCUUUAUGACCAGGGCUACACACGUACUACAAUGGCCGAUACAAAGGGCAGCGACACUGCGAGGUGAAGCCAACUCCCGUAAAAUCGGUCUCAGUCCGGAUUGGAGUCUGCAACUCGACUCCAUGAAGUUGGAAUCGCUAGUAAUCGUGGAUCAGCAUGCCACGGUGAAUACGUUCCCGGGCCUU
RNAcentral lists this ribosomal RNA (227 nucleotides) under uncultured Desulfobulbus sp. Its description in RNAcentral is "partial 16S ribosomal RNA". It matches the Rfam family "Bacterial small subunit ribosomal RNA", at positions 1157 to 1382 of the family's 1533-position model. The record is from RNAcentral. Lineage: Bacteria; Pseudomonadati; Thermodesulfobacteriota; Desulfobulbia; Desulfobulbales; Desulfobulbaceae.